This 328-nucleotide unclassified non-coding RNA is filed under the name Hevea brasiliensis (rubber tree). Lineage: Eukaryota; Viridiplantae; Streptophyta; Magnoliopsida; Malpighiales; Euphorbiaceae. The record is from RNAcentral.
AAUAUUUUCAAGACUUUGCUAAUGGCCCAAGAUUUCAAGACCUUUGUCAAGCAGGAGUUAAAGGACUUAUUACAGCAAUUGAUCGCUUUGAACCCAAAAGGAGAUUUCGGCUCUCCACAUAUAGUCUUUUUUGGAUUAGGCAUGCCAUAAUACGAUCAAUGACACUCUCAAGCUUUACACGUGUCUCAUUUGGCCUUGAAUCAGUAAGAGUGGAGAUCCAAAAGGCCAAACUUGAGUUGUUGGUUGAGCUUCAAAGACAACCAACAGAGGAAGAGAUUAUUGAGAGGGUGGGAAUCUCCCCUGAGAGGUAUCAUGAAGUAAUGAGGGC